GGAGUCUAGCAUGUGCGCGAGUCAUUGGGAAUAACUAAACCUAAAGGCGCAAUGAAAGUGAAGGUUCGCCUAGCGCGGACCGAGGGAAGAUGGGCGGUCACGGUUUCGUGCCGCUCCGCACUCCCGGGGCGUCUCGUUCUCAUUGCGAGAAGAGGCGCACCAAGAGCGUACACGCUGGGACCCGAAAGAUGGUGAACUAUGCCUGGUCAGGACGAAGUCAGGGGAAACCCUGAUGGAGGUCCGUAGCGAUUCUGACGUGCAAAUCGAUCGUCGGAACUGGGUAUAGGGGCGAAAGACUAAUCGAACCAUCUAGUAGCUGGUUCCCUCCGAAGUUUCCCUCAGGAUAGCUGGCGCUCGUCGCCUACGAGUCUCAUCCGGUAAAGCGAAUGAUUAGAGGCAUUGGGGUCGAAACGGCCUCAACCUAUUCUCAAACUUUAAAUGGGUGAGAUCUCCGGCUUGCUCGAACUUAUGAAGCCGCGAGACACGGAUCAGAGUGCCAAGUGGGCCAUUUUUGGUAAGCAGAACUGGCGCUGUGGGAUGAACCAAACGCCGAGUUAAAGCGCCUAAAUCGACGCUUAUGGGAUACCAUGAAAGGCGUUGGUAACUUAAGACAGCAGGACGGUGGCCAUGGAAGUC
RNAcentral lists this ribosomal RNA (636 nucleotides) under Thanasimus formicarius. Its description in RNAcentral is "eukaryotic LSU rRNA". It matches the Rfam family "Eukaryotic large subunit ribosomal RNA", at positions 670 to 1262 of the family's 3401-position model. The record is from RNAcentral. Lineage: Eukaryota; Metazoa; Arthropoda; Insecta; Coleoptera; Cleridae.